RNAcentral lists this long non-coding RNA (227 nucleotides) under Gossypium barbadense (sea-island cotton). Its description in RNAcentral is "long non-coding RNA (GBAR_LNC012578)". The record is from RNAcentral. Lineage: Eukaryota; Viridiplantae; Streptophyta; Magnoliopsida; Malvales; Malvaceae.
GAUCAUAGUAAGCUUAUAAGAAAUCAAUAAGCAACUCAUUAACAAAUUUUUGUCAAUGUUUACCACAUAAUCAUAAUUUUACUGCAAGCUGUCUUCCUGAGCAACAGUCACUAAAUUAUUUAUAACUGGAGUUACGAAAAUCCAAAUCAAGUUCCGUUAAUUUUCCCUGAAAAUAGACUCAUAUAUCUUCUAUCCAUAAAAUUUUCAGAAUUUUUGGUAUGACCAAU